This 74-nucleotide transfer RNA is filed under the name Bacteroidales bacterium. RNAcentral describes it as "tRNA-Met". It matches the Rfam family "tRNA". From Rfam's summary of the family: Transfer RNA (tRNA) molecules are approximately 80 nucleotides in length. Their secondary structure includes four short double-helical elements and three loops (D, anti-codon, and T loops). Further hydrogen bonds mediate the characteristic L-shaped molecular structure. tRNAs have two regions of fundamental functional importance: the anti-codon, which is responsible for specific mRNA codon recognition, and the 3' end, to which the tRNAs corresponding amino acid is attached (by aminoacyl-tRNA synthetases). tRNAs cope with the degeneracy of the genetic code in two manners: having more than one tRNA (with a specific anti-codon) for a particular amino acid; and 'wobble' base-pairing, i.e. permitting non-standard base-pairing at the 3rd anti-codon position. Lineage: Bacteria; Pseudomonadati; Bacteroidota; Bacteroidia; Bacteroidales. The record is from RNAcentral.
UGCGAGGUAGCUCAGUUGGUUAGAGCGUCGGAUUCAUAACCCGGAGGUCACGAGUUCAAAUCUCGUUCUCGCAA